RNAcentral lists this ribosomal RNA (253 nucleotides) under uncultured prokaryote. RNAcentral's name for it is "partial 16S ribosomal RNA". It matches the Rfam family "Bacterial small subunit ribosomal RNA", at positions 524 to 776 of the family's 1533-position model. The record is from RNAcentral.
UACGAGUGCCUCAAGCGUUAUCCGGAAUCAUUGGGCGUAAAGGAUGUGUAGGUGGUUGUGUUAGUCUUGUCUUAAAUUCUUCGGCUUAACCGGGGGCAUGGAUGGGAAACGGCACAACUUGAGGAUGCGAGGGGUCUGCGGAACUCAUAGUGUAGCGGUGAAAUGCGUUGAUAUUAUGGGGAACACCAAAAGCGAAGGCAGCAGACUGGAGCACUCCUGACACUGAAACAUGAAAGCGUGGGUAGCGAAUGGG